AACGCGAAGAACCUUACCUACCCUUGACAUCCUAAGAAUCCUGCAGAGAUGCGGGAGUGCCGAAAGGAAUUUAGAGACAGGUGCUGCAUGGCUGUCGUCAGCUCGUGUUGUGAGAUGUUGGGUUAAGUCCCGUAACGAGCGCAACCCUUAUCCUUAGUUGCCAACAUGUAAUGGUGGGGACUCUAAGGAGACUGCUGGUGAAGAACCGGAGGAAGGCGGGGACGACGUCAAGUCAUCAUGGCCUUUAUGGGUAGGGCAACACACGUGCUACAAUGGUCCGUACAGAGGGUAGCCAACCCGCGAGGGGGAGCCAAUCCCGAAAAGCGGAUCGUAGUCCGGAUUGAAGUCUGCAACUCGACUUCAUGAAGUUGGAAUCGCUAGUAAUCGCGAAUCAGAACGUCGCGGUGAAUACGUUCCCGGGCCUUGUACACACCGCACGA
This 440-nucleotide ribosomal RNA is filed under the name uncultured bacterium. Its description in RNAcentral is "bacterial SSU rRNA". It matches the Rfam family "Bacterial small subunit ribosomal RNA", at positions 958 to 1397 of the family's 1533-position model. The record is from RNAcentral.